UUAAGUUUGAUCCUGGCUCAGACGAACGCUGGCGGCGUGCCUAAUACAUGCAAGUCGAACGAGAGCGACCGGUGCUUGCACUGGUCAAUCUAGUGGCGAACGGGUGAGUAACACGUGGGUAACCUGCCCAUCAGAGGGGGAUAACAUCCGGAAACGGAUGCUAAAACCGCAUAGGUCUUCGAACCGCAUGGUUUGAAGAGGAAAAGAGGCGCAAGCUUCUGCUGAUGGAUGGACCCGCGGUGCAUUAGCUAGUUGGUGAGGUAACGGCUCACCAAGGCCGUGAUGCAUAGCCGACCUGAGAGGGUGAUCGGCCACAUUGGGACUGAGACACGGCCCAAACUCCUACGGGAGGCAGCAGUAGGGAAUCUUCCGCAAUGGACGCAAGUCUGACGGAGCAACGCCGCGUGAGUGAAGAAGGUUUUCGGAUCGUAAAACUCUGUUGUUAGAGAAGAACAAGUGCUAGAGUAACUGUUAGCGCCUUGACGGUAUCUAACCAGAAAGCCACGGCUAACUACGUGCCAGCAGCCGCGGUAAUACGUAGGUGGCAAGCGUUGUCCGGAUUUAUUGGGCGUAAAGCGAGCGCAGGCGGUUCCUUAAGUCUGAUGUGAAAGCCCCCGGCUCAACCGGGGAGGGUCAUUGGAAACUGGGGAACUUGAGUGCAGAAGAGGAGAGUGGAAUUCCAUGUGUAGCGGUGAAAUGCGUAGAUAUAUGGAGGAACACCAGUGGCGAAGGCGACUCUCUGGUCUGUAACUGACGCUGAGGCUCGAAAGCGUGGGUAGCAAACAGGAUUAGAUAC
Molecule: ribosomal RNA, 796 nt
Filed under: uncultured Carnobacteriaceae bacterium
Lineage: Bacteria; Bacillati; Bacillota; Bacilli; Lactobacillales; Carnobacteriaceae
Description: bacterial SSU rRNA
Rfam family: Bacterial small subunit ribosomal RNA
Source: RNAcentral